GCAGUGCUGUAGCUGACCUGACUCAGCACAUCAGCCCAGGGUAUCCACAUUUCCCUGUUGGACUCGGGCUCUGAGCAUCAUCUCUCUUUCCAGCAGGCCACCACAGUGCCCUUUGGCCAUCACGAGUCACCCCAUCACCCUUGGACACCCCGUAGGUGGCCGGUCCCACGUCCCCAGCAUGCUGCUAGAUGCCCACACCAUGUGUCAGGGUUAUCAGGAGCGUGCCCAAAAAGCCAGGGCUUCCCCAAAACCUCCUCCCUGGCAGCUGAAGGCAGUUCUCAGCGUAGGAUGCAGAGGUGCUUGAUGUCUGUCAGUGCUCAAGAGGCAUUUGGACAAUGCUCUCAUUGAUAUGCUUUAACUUUUAGUUAGCUCUGAAGAGGUCGAGUAGUUGCAGUAGAGAUGACCUUUGAAGCUCUUCCAACAAAACUGUUCUGUUCUCUUCCACCUGUCCCGUCCCAUCCCCUCUCCCUCUUCUCUCCUUCUCCUCUCCUCUCUGAGAUAGCAUAAAGUUGCCAAUCUCAUUCUUUGUUUGGGGAGAUAAAACUCGAAAUAUGGUAAAACUGAUUUUUUUUUUCACCCAGAAGAGGCACAAAAACGCAGUGUUUUUCCCCCAUCUUCUUUCCCAGACCCACUGGUCUUUGCCGUGCACCAGAAACCACCAUCAUGCUCCAGUUUGCUCCCUGUAAGCUUGCCUAAACUCCGACGCUGUCAGCAGUUUACUGUGUCAGUCACCAGGAGACAUCCAGGACACCAAAACAGUCACGGCGUUGUGAAACCACUUGGCAUACAGGGCUUGCUGGCUGCCGGCACGCAGCUCCUGCACAUCACGGGAAGCGGGGACAACGCGUGUGAAGGCAGAAAGGACGGCGCUGCCGGCACCGGCAAUGCCCCAUGCUACGCCUGCGGAGAGCCUAGCAAAGAAGUACAAGCCAUGGUGAAAUCUGCUGUCAGGGCCCAACAGAGAGGCCCAAAAAAAUGCAGUCGAGCUAAACUGGUUGUGAAGAAACCCAAGUGCAGCAGAACCGGCCGCCAGUGCACUUUACAGGACUUGUGUCUACAUCUAAAGACAGAAAACGAUGAUUGGAAAACUAAUCACCUAGCCUUUACCGGGUUCUUCAGUCAGCUGGUUCUCCCCUUUGCUACUCUCCUGCUGCCCAAGGAGAGAUUUGUACAGUCAGGGCAUGAACGCUGCAAGUGAAAUACCGUGGGUGAGAAUGGAAAGCGUGUGGGGGGUCUGCUGAGAGGACAGCAAGGGUUGGUGGCACCAGGGAAGGUGGCCCGCCUAGGUCUGAGGCCAUCCAGCUCGUGGUCCUGCUUUGUUAGCAGUAGGCAUCUGCUCUAGGUCCCUUCCCUGCUCUUUGGCUUCUCAAAGUGGGUUACAAAGCCGAUUCCUUGUGCCAUGGACAGGGCUGGCACCCUGGGAUGUCACCGCUGUGAUAGGCUGCUUUGGACUGAAAUUUGGGACCAUUGUUCUGGGACUGCUGGUGUUUCGCACGCCCAUCACCAUGAUAUCUUCCAUGGCUCUGAGUGGCCUUUGCAGAGCUCCCCUACUACUGAGCCACCAGAAACGCGACCUGGGCAGCAAUUAAGGAGAGCUUGUGAAAGGCAUCUGCCCUCUAAUUCUUUGUUUCGCUUCUCAGCAUCCUUUUGGGGAAUAAAGUGAAACGUGGGUGCUAAAUAACGAUCGCU
RNAcentral lists this long non-coding RNA (1689 nucleotides) under Anser cygnoides (Swan goose). Its description in RNAcentral is "lncRNA (ENSACDG00005018102.1)". The record is from RNAcentral. Lineage: Eukaryota; Metazoa; Chordata; Aves; Anseriformes; Anatidae.